RNAcentral lists this ribosomal RNA (493 nucleotides) under uncultured bacterium. RNAcentral describes it as "partial 16S ribosomal RNA". It matches the Rfam family "Bacterial small subunit ribosomal RNA", at positions 30 to 506 of the family's 1533-position model. The record is from RNAcentral.
AUUGAACGCUGGCGGCAUGCUUUACACAUGCCAGUCGAACGGCAGCGGGGAGGAGCUUGCUUCUCUGCCGGCGAGUGGCGAACGGGUGAGUAAUACAUCGGAACGUGUCGAGAAGAGGGGGAUAACCACCCGAAAGGGUGGCUAAUACCGCAUAAAUUCUGAGGAAGAAAGCUGGGGACCUGGGAAUAGGCCUAGCGCUUUUUGAGCGGCCGAUGUCGGAUUAGCUAGUUGGUGAGGUAAAGGCUCACCAAGGCGAAGAUCUGUAGCGGGUCUGAGAGGAUGAUCCGCCACACUGGGACUGAGACACGGCCCAGACUCCUACGGGAGGCAGCAGUGGGGAAUUUUGGACAAUGGGGGCAACCCUGAUCCAGCCAUGCCGCGUGUAUGAAGAAGGCCUUAGGGUUGUAAAGUACUUUUGUUAGGGAAGAAAAGUCAGCUGUGAAUAAUGGCUGAUACUGACGGUACCUAAAGAAUAAGCACCGGCUAACUACGU